Molecule: unclassified non-coding RNA, 1842 nt
Filed under: uncultured fungus
Lineage: Eukaryota; Fungi
Description: sequence contains 18S rRNA gene, ITS1, 5.8S rRNA gene, ITS2, 28S rRNA gene
Rfam family: Eukaryotic large subunit ribosomal RNA (bases 720-1842)
Source: RNAcentral
GGAAGGAUCAUUAACACAUUGUCCAUUUGAUGAUAGUGACUUUUGGAGGAAUAGUUUUGAGUGUUUACUACGCUCACUUUUUCUUCUUCUAAGUCCUAUCAUUCAAACCUAAUAGCGAAUGAGUUGAAGUCCUCAUUAUUAAUUAACUUUAAUAAUUAUUUAGUGGAAUAAGACUAAAUGUAAUCACGUUUAAUGGAUUCGAGAGAAUUCAUUCGACUAAAUGUCUAACAAAAAAACAAACAAUAACUAUAACCAAGACAACUUGUAACAGUGGAUACCUUGGUUCCCAGGUCGAUGAAGAGCGCAGCGAACUGCGAUAAGUCAUGUGAAUUGCAGAAUUCCGUGAAUCAUCGAACUCUUGAACGCAAAUUGCACUUGGGUGUUGAAUCCAAGUGUGCCUGCUCGAGUGUCGGCAAUAAAUCCUCACUUAGAACUUUAUUGAUUUAAGUUGAAAAUGAGAGUUCAAAUCCUUUUUUUUUGAUCUCUUUAAAUUGAUGGAAAUAUGAUUCGUGAAAUAUGGGAACAAUUUGUUUCUAAUAUGAAAAAGUACGAACCACAUCGAUUAGUAAAUUAAGAUCUUUAUUGAUCAUUACUUUAUUAAUUCUAUCGUAUUUUGCCUCAUUUAGAAUGACAAUGUUCAUUUAAAACACAUGUUGGAAUCAUAAUUGACGUGUCCAUAGAAUACCUUACGCUAUUCGAAAGACAAUUCUUUAAACUCUCGACCUCGAAUUAGGCAAGAUCACCCGGUGGACUUAAGCAUAUUAUUAACCGGAGGAAAAGAAACUAACAAGGAUGUCCUUAGUAACGGCGAGUGAAGCGGACAGAGCUCAAAUUUAAAAUCUGAGAGUCUCAUGAUUCUCCGAAUUGUAGUUUUUGGAUUGUUAGUCACGGUGGCAUUGAUUCGGGAGUAAGUUCUUUGGAACAAGGCGUCAGAGAGGGUGAGAACCCCGUAUGCGUCCCAGUCAGUGUUACAAUAGGUGUCUAACUUUUCACGAGUCGGGUUGUUUGGGAUUGCAGCCCUAAAUAGGUGGUAGAUCUCAUCUAAAGCUAAAUAUUCCUGGGAGACCGAUAGCGAAGAAGUAGUGUGAACGAAAGGUGAAAAGAACUUUGAAAAGAAGGUGAAAAGUACUUGAAGCUGUUCCAAGGGAACCGUAUGAAAGCAGUGACUGCUUGGCGACAAUUCAGCGAGCGUGCGUGAUUGCGUGUUUGGACACACGAAGGUGUUAUGCCUCGGAGUGCUGAGCGUGAGUCAUCAGGCGCGUGUACUUUGUCGCUUGAGCGAGUCAACAUCAGUUUGGUUGGCGACGGAGAAAGGCGAGGAGAAGGUAGGUUGGCACUUCGGUGUUGGCUGUUUAUAGCUCCUUGUUGCAUACGUCGCUCUGAACUGAGGAAGCAAAACGCAUGCCUCGGCGAGGUAAUUGGCGGACCCAUGACGGCGUGCGUGUACGUCUGCUUGCAGGGUGCAUUCAUGGCUGGCGUGGCGAAAGCUGAUCCAUCGGUGCGUUAGGGAUGUUGACGAAAUGCUUUCAUAUGACCCGUCUUGAAACACGGACCAAGGAGUCUAACAUGUAUGCGAGUAUUUGGGUGGCAAACCCGAGUGCACAAUGAAAGUGAAAGAUGCGAGUCUGGUAAAAAGGAUGCAGCAUCGGCCGACUGCACUUAGGUGCGGAUUGCGUCGGAGCACACAUGAUGGGACCCGAAAGAUGGUGAACUUUGCGUGCGCAGGGUGAAGCCAGAGGAAACUCUGGUGGAGGCUCGUAGAGGUUCUGACGUGCAAAUCGAUCUUCAGACGUGCGUAAAGGGGCGAAAGACUAAUCGAACCAUCUAGUAGCUGGUUUACAC